GACGAACGCUGGCGGCGUGCUUAACACAUGCAAGUCGAACGAUGAAGCUGGAGCUUGCUCCGGUGGAUUAGUGGCGAACGGGUGAGUAACACGUGAGUAAUCUGCCCUUGACUCUGGGAUAACUGCGGGAAACUGUAGCUAAUACCGGAUACGACACCUUCGGGCAUCCGAUGGGUGUGGAAAGAAUUUCGGUCAAGGAUGAACUCGCGGCCUAUCAGCUAGUUGGGGAGGUAAUGGCUCACAAAGGCGACGACGGGUAGCCGGCCUGAGAGGGUGACCGGCCACACUGGGACUGAGACACGGCCCAGACUCCUACGGGAGGCAGCAGUGGGGAAUAUUGCACAAUGGGCGAAAGCCUGAUGCAGCAACGCCGCGUGAGGGAUGAAGGCCUUCGGGUUGUAAACCUCUUUUAGUUGGGAAGAAGCGAAAGUGACGGUACCAACAGAAAAAGCACCGGCUAACUACGUGCCAGCAGCCGCCGUAA
RNAcentral lists this ribosomal RNA (484 nucleotides) under uncultured bacterium. RNAcentral describes it as "partial 16S ribosomal RNA". It matches the Rfam family "Bacterial small subunit ribosomal RNA", at positions 28 to 523 of the family's 1533-position model. The record is from RNAcentral.